Molecule: ribosomal RNA, 403 nt
Filed under: uncultured bacterium
Lineage: Bacteria
Description: bacterial SSU rRNA
Rfam family: Bacterial small subunit ribosomal RNA
Source: RNAcentral
AACGAACGUUAGCGGCGCGCUUAACACAUGCAAGUCGAACGAGAAAGGGCUUCGGCCCCGGUACAGUGGCGCACGGGUGAGUAACACGUGGGUAAUCUACCCUCGAGCGGGGGAUAACGUUCCGAAAGGAGCGCUAAUACCGCAUAAGACCACGCUCUCGAAAGGGAGCGAGGUAAAAGUAGGCCUCUGAAUUCACGCUUACACUCGAGGAUGAGCCCGCGGCCCAUCAUGGUAGUUGGUAGGGUAAUGGCCUACCAAGCCGAAGACGGGUAGCUGGUCUUAGAGGAUGAUCAGCCACACUGGAACUGAGACACGGUCCAGACUCCUACGGGAGGCAGCAGUGGGGAAUCUUGCGCAAUGGGCGAAAGCCUGACGCAGCGACGCCGCGUGGGUGACGAAGGCC